UAGGGAAUCUUCGGCAAUGGACGGAAGUCUGACCGAGCAACGCCGCGUGAGUGAAGAAGGUUUUCGGAUCGUAAAGCUCUGUUGUAAGAGAAGAACGAGUGUGAGAGUGGAAAGUUCACACUGUGACGGUAUCUUACCAGAAAGGGACGGCUAACUACGUGCCAGCAGCCGCGGUAAUACGUAGGUCCCGAGCGUUGUCCGGAUUUAUUGGGCGUAAAGCGAGCGCAGGCGGUUAGAUAAGUCUGAAGUUAAAGGCUGUGGCUUAACCAUAGUAGGCUUUGGAAACUGUUUAACUUGAGUGCAAGAGGGGAGAGUGGAAUUCCAUGUGUAGCGGUGAAAUGCGUAGAUAUAUGGAGGAACACCGGUGGCGAAAGCGGCUCUCUGGCUUGUAACUGACGCUGAGGCUCGAGAGCGUGGGGAGCAAACAGGAUUAGAUACCCUGGUAGUCCACGCUGUAAACGAUGAGUGCUAGGUGUUAGACCCUUUCCGGGGUUUAGUGCCGUAGCUAACGCAUUAAGCACUCCGCCUGGGGAGUACGACCGCAAGGUU
RNAcentral lists this ribosomal RNA (549 nucleotides) under uncultured bacterium. Its description in RNAcentral is "bacterial SSU rRNA". It matches the Rfam family "Bacterial small subunit ribosomal RNA", at positions 355 to 895 of the family's 1533-position model. The record is from RNAcentral.